This is a long non-coding RNA of Paramacrobiotus metropolitanus, 1522 nucleotides long. RefSeq lists it as uncharacterized. The record is from RefSeq and is a predicted model, not a curated record. The transcript is spliced from 3 exons. Lineage: Eukaryota; Metazoa; Tardigrada; Eutardigrada; Parachela; Macrobiotidae.
AGUAGAAAGCCUAUAAUAUUAUUACAGAGUAGUGUGAGGUUAUAUAGGGGAAAACCGUCUUAUUGGAGCCGGUUCAUGGCGCUGCUGCCGUCACCCGGUUGGAAUGGGAUGUUACGGCAGUAGGUAAUAUGGUUAAAUCGGGCGCGGUACAUGAGCACUAUGUUUAAGCUCCAGCCGGGUGACGGCAGCAGUGCAGGGAGACGGUUCGGGUAGACUGGUCUUGCCCCCUAUAUUAUGUGAAAGCAUGUGUGUUUUUCACUGCUGUGUAUUUACUAAAACAAAUCGACAUUAUAAAAAUUUGAAAUUUAUUCAAUUUUGUCAACGUGGAAAACCGGUUUCUUCUGCAUUGCAGGCGGUCCGAUUCCAGUUCUUCGUGUUUUUCUUUAUGAAAAUCGUAGUAAUUUGUUGCUGUUGCUUAUUGAUUAUUUCCCUUUAGUGAUUUUAUUUAGUGCCUUUUAUGCGAAAUGAGUCAAUGAUCGGGAUCACAGCACCAGCUUCGUCGGAUAUCGAACCGAACUGAAAAUGAUGCUUUACCAGACGUCAGACGUCAGACGACAGCACAUCGUUCAUCGGAACAACUGCUUUGACAAGCUACCGAUGCCGGAUGAUGGGGAAAAUUUCUUCGAGGAAACUGCGGGGCUCGUGUACAACAAAUAUGUCAUCAGCUUUCCCAAAGCGCCGAAGUUGCCCGACGUGGAUUUUAUCCCAUUGAUUUUGGCGCGUACGUGUCGAGUCUUGUCGGACAGUAGUGAAAAUCUCAGCGAGGUCAAGUGCAUAUUUGAUCGGUACGCGAGAGUAGAUGAUUUGCAGUUCUCCUGUAUGGAACACCGACAGCCGGAUGUCUUUGUCAUCUUUGUCGGUUGUCGAAUGUCCGUACGAGUGGGACUGGACACAAUCAGUUCUGUCUGCGCCAAAAUGGAGAGUGACGGAAACGGUUAACUUUCCGGGUGUCUGCGCAUUCGCUACGUCGAGACACCCGCUGAGCAGAUCCGUAUAAUGACCAGUGUCCGGCCGUCAGUCCGGGGGCGUAUGAAAAGGUCGCAGCGAUCCAAGCACGCUGGGCGCGUACAUUGGCUAUCCGAAUCAGUGGAGCGGCAUCCGGGUUUUCUUGCAGAUGUUCAGUUCACUCCAUCCUGAUGACAUCCCACAGCGCUGGAAUACGAUGGAUCCCGCCAACUGGACACUGCAGUUUUGACCCAUGUCACAAUUGCGGCACUGGAUGGAUGCUACGAAGACUAAAACUGGCUUUGAAAAAAUUAGGGUUUGCAUUAUUUCACAGGCUAAGCUACUUUGUAUUUUGAUAAUCCAUUAAUUUUACUCGCUUGUGCCCUGCCGCAGUGCGGACUAUGACAAAACCACUGCGACCAUCGCUUCGUCGUUUCUUGUUUGUCGAAAUGGUAAGCACUGGAACGCAGUUUUAUCUUGCGUAGGAAAUUCUGUUUACUUUCAUUGCUCCUAGUACAGUGUGGCUGAUCCCCAUGAUAAUAAUUUUCGCAUUUGUGGCGGCUAUAAAGAAGCUGUA